AUUUGAAGAAUACAAAAUAUUAGAGUGUACACCGGUCAAACAGUAAUGCAGGUGUUCUAAGGCAAGCUCAGGGAGGACAGAAACCUCUCAUGGGGCAGAAGGGAAAAAGCUCACUUGAUCUUGAUUUUCAGUAUGAAUACAGACCUUGAAAGCAGGGCCUCAUGAUCCUUCUGACCUUUUGGGUUUCAAGCAGGAGAUGUCAGAAAAGU
RNAcentral lists this non-coding RNA (209 nucleotides) under Gorilla gorilla gorilla (western lowland gorilla). Its description in RNAcentral is "Eukaryotic large subunit ribosomal RNA". It matches the Rfam family "Eukaryotic large subunit ribosomal RNA", at positions 2619 to 2815 of the family's 3401-position model. The record is from Rfam by way of RNAcentral. Lineage: Eukaryota; Metazoa; Chordata; Mammalia; Primates; Hominidae.